AUGCUAGUUCCUAAUAAAACAAGGAGAAAAGCCUUGACUCCUUGGAGGAUAAAACUAGCAGCCGCAGGUGCUCUGGAGGAGAAAGUCCAGCUUGAGUCAGCUUCUUGGGACCAAGCUGGUGGGAACGAGAAGCUGGUCAAGCUGGAGCCUGGGCUGAAGGCGUGCGGAGGUGAUGACCGGAUCUGGGCCCUGAUUCACAAGGUCACGCACCUGUCCACACUGCAGGUGGGGUCUCUCAAUGUCAAGUGCCUGUCGACACCACGCCACACUUCUGGACACAUCUGCUACUUUGUGAGCAAGCCCAGCAGCUCUGAGCCUCCUGCUGUGUUCACAGGUGACACCUUGUUCGUGGCUGGCUGUGGGAAGUUCUGCGAAGGGACAGCAGAUGAGAUGCACAAAACCCUGCUUAAGAUCCUGGGCCAGCUCCCUCCAGACACAAGAGUGUACUGUGGCCAUGAGUAUACCAUCAACAGCCUCAAGUUUGCGCAGCACAUAGAGCCCAACAAUGCUGCCAUUCAGGAGAAGCUGGCCUGGGCCAAGGAGAAGUACAGUAUUGGGGAGCCCACAGUGCCAUCCACCGUCGUGGAGGAGUUCACCUACAACCCCGUUCAUGAGAGUGAGGGAGAAGACUGCAGCACCAUGCUGGCGAGACGGACCUGUGACCACCAUGAGGGCCAUCCGCAAAGAGAAGGACCAUUUCAAGGUGCCCCGGGGACUGAGACGGCUGUGGGGCCUGGGCUGCCCGUGGCCGCCACCUCUCUCAAGCACAUUUGGGUAUUCAGAUGUUUUAAAUAAAUUUCCUGCCAGGAGUGCAGGAAAUCCAGUCUUGGUUUAAUUUUAAAUUAAUCUCAG
Odobenus rosmarus divergens (Pacific walrus) is the source of this 852-nucleotide RNA transcript. It is a transcript of the gene named hydroxyacylglutathione hydrolase, mitochondrial-like, with no coding region annotated. Lineage: Eukaryota; Metazoa; Chordata; Mammalia; Carnivora; Odobenidae. The transcript has 2 exons. The record is from RefSeq and is a predicted model, not a curated record.